This 395-nucleotide ribosomal RNA is filed under the name uncultured bacterium. RNAcentral's name for it is "partial 16S ribosomal RNA". It matches the Rfam family "Bacterial small subunit ribosomal RNA", at positions 523 to 918 of the family's 1533-position model. The record is from RNAcentral.
AUACGUAGGGUGCAAGCGUUAAUCGGAAUUACUGGGCGUAAAGCGUGCGCAGGCGGUUUUGUAAGACAGAGGUGAAAUCCCCGGGCUCAACCUGGGAACUGCCUUUGUGACUGCCAGGCUAGAGUACGGCAGAGGGGGAUGGAAUUCCGCGUGUAGCAGUGAAAUGCGUAGAUAUGCGGAGGAACACCGAUAGCGAAGGCAAUCCCCUGGGCCUGUACUGACGCUCAUGCACGAAAGCGUGGGGAGCAAACAGGAUUAGAUACCCUGGUAGUCCACGCCCUAAACGAUGUCAACUGGUUGUUGGGUCUUCAUUGACUCAGUAACGAAGCUAACGCGUGAAGGUGACCGCCUGGGGAGUACGGCCGCAAGUUUGAAACUCAAAUGAACUGCCGGGC